RNAcentral lists this ribosomal RNA (551 nucleotides) under uncultured bacterium. RNAcentral's name for it is "bacterial SSU rRNA". It matches the Rfam family "Bacterial small subunit ribosomal RNA", at positions 355 to 896 of the family's 1533-position model. The record is from RNAcentral.
UAGGGAAUCUUCGGCAAUGGGGGCAACCCUGACCGAGCAACGCCGCGUGAGUGAAGAAGGUUUUCGGAUCGUAAAGCUCUGUUGUAAGUCAAGAACGAGUGUGAGAGUGGAAAGUUCACACUGUGACGGUAGCUUACCAGAAAGGGACGGCUAACUACGUGCCGGCAGCCGCGGUAAUACGUAGGUCCCGAGCGUUGUCCGGAUUUAUUGGGCGUAAAGCGAGCGCAGGCGGUUUGAUAAGUCUGAAGUUAAAGGCUGUGGCUCAACCAUAGUUCGCUUUGGAAACUGUCAAACUUGAGUGCAGAAGGGGAGAGUGGAAUUCCAUGUGUAGCGGUGAAAUGCGUAGAUAUAUGGAGGAACACCGGUGGCGAAAGCGGCUCUCUGGUCUGUAACUGACGCUGAGGCUCGAAAGCGUGGGGAGCGAACAGGAUUAGAUACCCUGGUAGUCCACGCCGUAAACGAUGAGUGCUAGGUGUUGGAUCCUUUCCGGGAUUCAGUGCCGCAGCUAACGCAUUAAGCACUCCGCCUGGGGGAGUACGACCGCAAGGUUG